GACGACGCUGGCGGCGUGGAUUAGGCAUGCAAGUCGAACGGUAUCAUCCUUCGGGGGUGAGAGAGUGGCGAACUGGUGAGUAACACGUAGGUUAUCUACCUCAAGACGGGGACAACCCAGGGAAACUUGGGCUAAUACCGGAUGUGAGCAACUUUUAGUGUUUGAAAGGUGGCGUAAGCUGUCGCUUGGGGAUGAGCCUGCGUCCUAUUAGUUAGUUGGUGAGGUAACGGCUCACCUAGGCAAUGAUAGGUAGGCGGCCUUAACGGGUGGUCGCCCACACUGGGAUUGAGAUACGGCCCAGACUCCUACGGGAGGCAGCAGUCGAGAAUAGUCUACAAUGGUCGGAAGACUGAUAGUGCGACGCCGCGUGAACGAUGAAUCCCUUCGGGGUGUAAAGUUCUUUUAUAUGUGAGCAGUGCUUCUUAUAUUAACAGUAUGGGGAGAGAGAUAUUAGCAUAUGAAUAAGCAACGGCUAACUCCGUG
Molecule: ribosomal RNA, 483 nt
Filed under: uncultured bacterium
Lineage: Bacteria
Description: bacterial SSU rRNA
Rfam family: Bacterial small subunit ribosomal RNA
Source: RNAcentral